GAUGAACGCUGGCGGCGUGCCUAAUACAUGCAAGUCGAGCGAACAGACGAGGAUCUUGUUCCGCUGACGUUAGCGGCGGACGUGUGAGUAACACGAGGAUAACCUAUCUAGAAGACUGGCAUAACUUCGGGAAACCGGAACUAAAUCCUAAAAAGAUUGUCAUCCAUUUUUAUCAACAGCUAAGGACGGUCGUGCUGGCACUUAGAGAGGGUUGCUAGACGCAGUAGCUAGUUGGUAAGGUAACGGCUUACCAUGGCAAUGAUGCGUAGCCGACCUGAGAGGGUGAUCAGCCACACUACAACUGAACCACGGUACAGACUACUAUGCGAGGCAGCAGUGGGGUAUGUUCCGCAAAGCGCGAAAGCAUGACGGAGUCCAGCCGCGUCAGUUGAAAAGGUCCUCGGCUCGUAAAACUCUGUUACUAGGGAAGAACAAAUGUGUAAGUCACUAUGCACGUCUUGACGGUACCUAAUCAGAAAGCCCCGGCUAACUACGUG
This 497-nucleotide ribosomal RNA is filed under the name uncultured bacterium. Its description in RNAcentral is "partial 16S ribosomal RNA". It matches the Rfam family "Bacterial small subunit ribosomal RNA", at positions 28 to 507 of the family's 1533-position model. The record is from RNAcentral.